This 755-nucleotide ribosomal RNA is filed under the name uncultured bacterium. Its description in RNAcentral is "bacterial SSU rRNA". It matches the Rfam family "Bacterial small subunit ribosomal RNA", at positions 93 to 844 of the family's 1533-position model. The record is from RNAcentral.
GAGUGGCGGACGGGUGAGUAAUGUCUGGGAAACUGCCUGAUGGAGGGGGAUAACUACUGGAAACGGUAGCUAAUACCGCAUAACGUCGCAAGACCAAAGAGGGGGACCUUCAGGCCUCUUGCCAUCGGAUGUGCCCAGAUGGGAUUAGCUUGUUGGUGGGGUAACGGCUCACCAAGGCGACGAUCCCUAGCUGGUCUGAGAGGAUGACCAGCCACACUGGAACUGAGACACGGUCCAGACUCCUACGGGAGGCAGCAGUGGGGAAUAUUGCACAAUGGGCGCAAGCCUGAUGCAGCCAUGCCGCGUGUAUGAAGAAGGCCUUCGGGUUGUAAAGUACUUUCAGCGGGGAGGAAGGGAGUAAAGUUAAUACCUUUGCUCAUUGACGUUACCCGCAGAAGAAGCACCGGCUAACUCCGUGCCAGCAGCCGCGGUAAUACGGAGGGUGCAAGCGUUAAUCGGAAUUACUGGGCGUAAAGCGCACGCAGGCGGUUUGUUAAGUCAGAUGUGAAAUCCCCGGGCUCAACCUGGGAACUGCAUCUGAUACUGGCAAGCUUGAGUCUCGUAGAGGGGGGUAGAAUUCCAGGUGUAGCGGUGAAAUGCGUAGAGAUCUGGAGGAAUACCGGUGGCGAAGGCGGCCCCCUGGGCGAAGACUGACGCUCAGGUGCGAAAGCGUGGGGAGCACACAGGAUUAGAUACCCUGGUAGUCCACGCCGUAAACGAUGUCGACUUGGAGGUUGUGCCCUUGAGGCGUGGCU